This 453-nucleotide unclassified non-coding RNA is filed under the name Hevea brasiliensis (rubber tree). Lineage: Eukaryota; Viridiplantae; Streptophyta; Magnoliopsida; Malpighiales; Euphorbiaceae. The record is from RNAcentral.
GCCCCUUGGAUGAUCUGCUGACUUGCUUUUGGGAUCCAGUUUGCUUGAAAUAAGGGAAGUGGAAGCAUAUUGGACCGAUGGCUGUUCAUGUGGAGGAUUAGCAGGAGUUGGGUAUGGAAUAAAGGUUGAGCAAGGACUAGGAAUUACAUUAGGAUUUUGAUUUCUAAAGAAGGGAAAUGGCUGCAUUGAUGGAUGCAUGGGAAUUGGACCAGGUGGGACAGGUAAGGGGACUGGAUAUGGAUAAGUAGGACCCAUGACAACAGAAGGAUCAACGGCAGGCCAUGGAAACAUAACCCUGAGCCUUUGUUGACACUGAGAAUUUAAGUUUUCAAUAUCAGAUUUUAAAGAUGCCUUUUCUUCUCUCAGCUCAUUCUUCUCCUGCAUUAGCUCAUGUGAUUCUUCCGAAAGUGCAGUGUAAUCAGCCUUUAGUCUGCUGACUUCAGCUGUUAGAUC